AUCCAACUGACGAGUCCCAAAUACGACAAAAUGGGCAUCUUGGAU
This 45-nucleotide non-coding RNA is filed under the name Trichobilharzia regenti. The record is from RNAcentral. Lineage: Eukaryota; Metazoa; Platyhelminthes; Trematoda; Strigeidida; Schistosomatidae.